Molecule: ribosomal RNA, 478 nt
Filed under: uncultured bacterium
Lineage: Bacteria
Description: partial 16S ribosomal RNA
Rfam family: Bacterial small subunit ribosomal RNA
Source: RNAcentral
GAUGAACGCUGGCGGCGUGCUUAACACAUGCCAGUCGAACGAGAAAUGUAGACGGACACCUUCGGGCGGAAGCCUUCAUUUCGAGUGGCGGACGGGUGAGUAACGCGUGGGUAACCUGCCUCAUACAGGGGGAUAACAGUUGGAAACGACUGUUAAUACCGCAUAAGACCACAGCAUCGCAUGAUGCGGGGGUAAAAACUCCGGUGGUAUGAGAUGGAUCCGCGUUCGAUUAGCCAGUUGGCGGGGUAACGGCCCACCAAAGCGACGAUCGAUAGCCGAUCUGAGAGGAUGACCGGCCACAUUGGGACUGAGACACGGCCCAAACUCCUACGGGAGGCAGCAGUGGGGAAUAUUGCACAAUGGGGGAAACCCUGAUGCAGCGACGCCGCGUGAGUGAAGAAGUACUUCGGUAUGCAAAGCUCUAUCAGCAGGGAAGAAAAUGACGGUACCUGAGUAAGAAGCCCCGGCUAACUACGUG